ACGGGAGGCAGCAGUGGGGAAUUUUGGACAAUGGGGGCAACCCUGAUCCAGCCAUGCCGCGUGAGUGAAGAAGGCCUUCGGGUUGUAAAGCUCUUUCGGCCGGGAAGAAAUCGCGCAGGUUAAUACCCUGUGUGGAUGACGGUACCGGAAUAAGAAGCACCGGCUAACUACGUGCCAGCAGCCGCGGUAAUACGUAGGGUGCGAGCGUUAAUCGGAAUUACUGGGCGUAAAGCGUGCGCAGGCGGUUUUGUAAGACAGGCGUGAAAUCCCCGGGCUUAACCUGGGAACUGCGCUUGUGACUGCAAGGCUAGAGUACGGCAGAGGGGGGUGGAAUUCCACGUGUAGCAGUGAAAUGCGUAGAGAUGUGGAGGAACACCAAUGGCGAAGGCAGCCCCCUGGGUCGAUACUGACGCUCAUGCACGAAAGCGUGGGUAGCAAACAGGAUUAGAUACCCUGGUA
RNAcentral lists this ribosomal RNA (459 nucleotides) under uncultured Dechloromonas sp. RNAcentral's name for it is "bacterial SSU rRNA". It matches the Rfam family "Bacterial small subunit ribosomal RNA", at positions 341 to 792 of the family's 1533-position model. Lineage: Bacteria; Pseudomonadati; Pseudomonadota; Betaproteobacteria; Rhodocyclales; Azonexaceae. The record is from RNAcentral.